GCUAGGCGUGGUGGCGCGUGCCUGUAGUCCCAGCUACUCAGGAGGCUGAGGUAGGAGAAUCGCUUGGACCAGGGAGUUGGAGGUUGCAGUGAGCCGAGAUCGCGCCACUGCACUCCAGCCUGGUGACAGAGCGAGAUUCUGUCUCAA
This is a non-coding RNA of Nomascus leucogenys (northern white-cheeked gibbon), 147 nucleotides long. It matches the Rfam family "Metazoan signal recognition particle RNA". Rfam says of the family: The signal recognition particle (SRP) is a universally conserved ribonucleoprotein. It is involved in the co-translational targeting of proteins to membranes. The eukaryotic SRP consists of a 300-nucleotide 7S RNA and six proteins: SRPs 72, 68, 54, 19, 14, and 9. Lineage: Eukaryota; Metazoa; Chordata; Mammalia; Primates; Hylobatidae. The record is from Rfam.